CACACACAAUAAACUUUGUGAGCUAAUUCUAGAAUAGUCUUCCAUUAAUAGUAAAGUAGGAAACAUGGACUUACAUGUUAUCCUGGACAUUACUCUUUGUUUUUAUUGUAUUCAUAAACUAUUGAAGGAGGAGAUGCUCUCCUUGGAGGACAAGUGUGAUGGAGUUUGACUAUCCUUUAGUUCUAUCUUAAUCACCAAAAUGACAGGACCUCACACCUGUCUUCCUUCUAGUGAUGUCAGGUGGUUGCAACAAAGCAUGGAGGCAACCAGCACAUUAUUCCAAAAGUAUCUCCUUGAUCUGAAAAUGAAGAGAACAACUUGAUGUGAAUAAAACCCAAAGCAUUUUGGGAAAUGUUAGUCUUUCCUGAUCCCCUUUCUCUCCUUGGGAUAGAUUUAGUUGAAAGCGAAUGAAUUUUGAUUCUGCUUAAACACAUGAGAAGUUUCAUUUUUCUUGCAAAAACUGUGGACAUGGCCAUUUUGGGGGCAAAUAUAGCUGCUCUAGGGCCAGGCUCAUUUCACCUUUAUGCUUUGGUGUCCUUUGUGCAUAAUGGCUGAGCAUCUAAGUAUGUCAGCAUUCCAGAAACAAAGAAGGAAGAAUAAGGAGGAAGAAGCGGCUAUAUGAGAAUUUGGAACAUUUCCAGAAACCCCAGUAAACGUACGUCUUGUUGUCCUGAACCAAGUCCCACAGUGAUCAUUUGCUGCCGUAGAGUCUGACAACUGCUUUUUUCCCCCUCUGGACACAUUUCCUUUCCUGCAGGAGCUGAGAUUCUUUCGAUGAGGAUGGAAUAGGGAAGCGAUAUUGCCCAGGCAAUGCACCAUGGAGACCAGACCUAUCAGAGUCCAGCAGAGGAUGGUGCCCGGGCUUGGUCAUUGCUCACUACAAAUGCAAGUCAAAAUGAUAAAUGUCAAACACAAACUACCAUUUUCUUUUCUUUUUUGAGUAAAGCUAUAGCAGCCUUCCUAGUCAUGUUUACUCUUGCACAGAAUGGACAUUUGUUUUCUUGUGUUAUGUGUGUCGUUUUACAACUGUUACCAAUUUUGGUGAAGACGUGAAGGUUCAUUUGAUGAGAAGGGGACUUUUGGAGGGGCCAGUUCAUUCAGUUUUCAGAGGGGUCUGAUCUUCAUCUGGUGCACAGGUCCUGGGUGCCUGGCCUCCCCUUGGGAACCAGGGUCUCUUAACCCUGCCUCAAGCUGCAGAGGAUUUAAGGUAAAGGCUGGGGAGCAGCUUCUGAGUCACAAGGUGACCCAUUUAGUGCUGUGCCUGAUCUGGCUGUCUGGCUGGUUCUGUGGGGACGCUCCUGAUGGUGUCCCAGCCAAUAGGUCACCAGUACAUUUAAACAGAGCCAGGGUAGUGUGGCAUGUACAGCCUGACAGCAUCUUGAGUGGAGGUCUUUUCCAAGGGACUUAAAAUGGGAUAGGCAUUCCAAGCUGGUGGACUCAUGGGGUUAGCCUUUCACAACCAUGGUACUUAGUUGAACAUUUUUUUUUCUAACUUCUUCUCCUCCUUCAUUAUUUCCUUUCAUCUUUUUCUCCAUUUAGGUUUUGUCCUAGAAGCCUUUUUAGAAGAAUCUAGAAGUCACUUUUCUAACUUCCUACCUACAGGCAUCUUGGAGGACCUCACCUGGUUCUUUGUGCAAACAUCUCCAGACAGACAUGCGUCGUCUCCAAGUCAGCCAGUUCUGAAGAGUGUGUCAGAAGGGUGUUGCUCAUAUUAAGCAGAUACCUCCUGUUAGAUUUCAGAAUAUUGUACUAACAGUGAAACUCCAAAACCCAACUGGUGAAAGAAUAUCUGGUUCUCUGCUUUGGGUUCCAAGUCUAGCCUAAGCCAUUGCUGCAGGAUUGUUGCACUGAACUGAAAGCUCCUUGUUCAGCAUAUACUAGUGCCAGUAAAGCUAUAGCAGGUGAUCCUGACUUGAGGAUGGCCUACUUCAGAUAAAGAACAUAGUCUUGGAGGCACAUGGUCUUGAAUCCACAUCCAGACUUCACUUCUGGCCUGGGUUUUGCUUGUAUGGACAAUUGCUAGAAGGAAAUUCGGUCUUUGGAUCGGCUACAGAUUUAUUUCUACUGAUUCUCUUCCCAUAUAAAUUAUUACAGAAU
Molecule: long non-coding RNA, 2097 nt
Organism: Phacochoerus africanus (Common warthog)
Lineage: Eukaryota; Metazoa; Chordata; Mammalia; Artiodactyla; Suidae
Exons: 5
Source: RefSeq, a predicted model, not a curated record